RNAcentral lists this ribosomal RNA (754 nucleotides) under uncultured bacterium. RNAcentral's name for it is "bacterial SSU rRNA". It matches the Rfam family "Bacterial small subunit ribosomal RNA", at positions 28 to 776 of the family's 1533-position model. The record is from RNAcentral.
GAUGGAACGCUAGCGACAGGCUUAACACAUGCAAGUCGAGGGGCAGCACGGUGUAGGAAUACACUGGUGCCGACCGACGCACGGGUGAGUAACAGGUAUCCAACCUGCCCUUUACUCGGGGAUAGCCUUUCGAAAGAAAGAUUAAUACCCGAUAGUAUAAUGAUUCCGCAUGGUUUCAUUAUUAAAGGAUUCCGGUAAAGGAUGGGGAUGCGUUCCAUUAGGUUGUUGGUGAGGUAACGGCUCACCAAGCCUUCGAUGGAUAGGGGUUCUGAGAGGAAGGUCCCCCACAUUGGAACUGAGACACGGUCCAAACUCCUACGGGAGGCAGCAGUGAGGAAUAUUGGUCAAUGUGCGCUAGCCUGAACCAGCCAAGUAGCGUGAAGGAUGAAGGCUCUAUGGGUCGUAAACUUCUUUUAUAUAAGAAUAAAGUGCAGUAUGUAUACUGUUUUGUAUGUAUUAUAUGAAUAAGGAUCGGCUAACUCCGUGCCAGCAGCCGCGGUAAUACGGAGGAUCCGAGCGUUAUCCGGAUUUAUUGGGUUUAAAGGGAGCGUAGGUGGACUGGUAAGUCAGUUGUGAAAGUUUGCGGCUCAACCGUAAAAUUGCAGUUGAUACUGUCAGCCUUGAGUACAGUAGAGGUGGGCGGAAUUCGUGGUGUAGCGGUGAAAUGCUUAGAUAUCACGAAGAACUCCGAAAGGAAGGCAGCUCACUGGACUGCAACUACACUNGACCCUAAUAGGUGUGGGUAUCAAACAGG